RNAcentral lists this ribosomal RNA (123 nucleotides) under uncultured Devosia sp. RNAcentral describes it as "partial 16S ribosomal RNA". Lineage: Bacteria; Pseudomonadati; Pseudomonadota; Alphaproteobacteria; Hyphomicrobiales; Devosiaceae. The record is from RNAcentral.
UCAUUAUCUUCCCAAUGAAAGAGCUUUACAACCCUAAGGCCUUCAUCACUCACGCGGCAUGGCUGGAUCAGGCUUGCGCCCAUUGUCCAAGAUUCCCCACUGCUGCCUCCCGUAAGAAUACCA